UCUAAUGGUCAAGAAGAGAAGAAGAAGAAAAGGAAAUGGUUUGCCUAUUUGAUUUUGAUAAUCAUCGGUACGUGCGGAAUCGGUAAUAUGGUUUGCAGAUAGCCACUAUAAUUUCUCCUCGCUUCUCCGGAUUGAUGCAUCGAAGAAUUUUCAGAAGGGUUUUCUUCAAUUUUGUCAUCAUGCUGAGAUGAUAAAUCUUUGGAGGGAUGGCUUAUCUACACGUGUUUCCUGCUUCUAGUUUUCAACUCAGCUCAGUUCAGGGUUUCACUAUUAUUAUUAUCUCAGAUUUAUUCUCAGCAUGGAACAUCAUCUGGAGAUUGAUAAAAUCAUAAAACUGAGAGUCAUGAAACCGAGAAGAAAAAGGAGCUAUGCAUGAAUACCAAAAUACAGAGAAAUAAACAUCCAAGGAAGAAUUGGAAGAACAAAUUGAAGAGGAGAACAAAAGCCUCAGAUGGCAGCAAGUGUUGAAGAAAAGGAUCAGAUGGUACCAAAUGUCAAUGAAGUUGCUAGAGAAUUUGAACAAGGAACUGAUGAUGUAGACUUCCCAACUCUAAAAAUUCGAGGAUAGCAGAAUGCCCCACCCCUUGCUGUUUUGUGAGUAA
Molecule: long non-coding RNA, 602 nt
Organism: Papaver somniferum (opium poppy)
Lineage: Eukaryota; Viridiplantae; Streptophyta; Magnoliopsida; Ranunculales; Papaveraceae
Exons: 3
Source: RefSeq, a predicted model, not a curated record